This 77-nucleotide non-coding RNA is filed under the name Chattonella subsalsa. The record is from RNAcentral. Lineage: Eukaryota; Raphidophyceae; Chattonellales; Chattonellaceae.
AACAUACACGCACGCGUCACAAGAAAGGGAGAAAAAGAAAAGCAAAAAGAACACAUUGAAAUUUCUUUGUCCUUCUU